ACGCUCGACACCUACGGGAGGCAGCAGUGGGGAAUAUUGCACAAUGGGGGGAACCCUGAUGCAGCGACGCCGCGUGAGGGAAGAAGGUUUUCGGAUUGUAAACCUCUGUCCUUGGUGACGAUAAUGACGGUAGCCAAGGAGGAAGCCACGGCUAACUACGUGCCAGUAGCCGCGGUAAUCUGAGCGGGCUGGCAAGGC
This 198-nucleotide ribosomal RNA is filed under the name uncultured bacterium. RNAcentral describes it as "partial 16S ribosomal RNA". It matches the Rfam family "Bacterial small subunit ribosomal RNA", at positions 328 to 539 of the family's 1533-position model. The record is from RNAcentral.